This 476-nucleotide ribosomal RNA is filed under the name Salmonella enterica. Its description in RNAcentral is "bacterial SSU rRNA". It matches the Rfam family "Bacterial small subunit ribosomal RNA", at positions 1 to 470 of the family's 1533-position model. The record is from RNAcentral. RNAcentral also lists the same sequence under 1 other name. Lineage: Bacteria; Pseudomonadati; Pseudomonadota; Gammaproteobacteria; Enterobacterales; Enterobacteriaceae.
AAAUUGAAGAGUUUGAUCAUGGCUCAGAUUGAACGCUGGCGGCAGGCCUAACACAUGCAAGUCGAACGGUAACAGGAAGCAGCUUGCUGCUUUGCUGACGAGUGGCGGACGGGUGAGUAAUGUCUGGGAAACUGCCUGAUGGAGGGGGAUAACUACUGGAAACGGUGGCUAAUACCGCAUAACGUCGCAAGACCAAAGAGGGGGACCUUCGGACCUCUUGCCAUCAGAUGUGCCCAGAUGGGAUUAGCUUGUUGGUGAGGUAACGGCUCACCAAGGCGACGAUCCCUAGCUGGUCUGAGAGGAUGACCAGCCACACUGGAACUGAGACACGGUCCAGACUCCUACGGGAGGCAGCAGUGGGGAAUAUUGCACAAUGGGCGCAAGCCUGAUGCAGCCAUGCCGCGUGUAUGAAGAAGGCCUUCGGGUUGUAAAGUACUUUCAGCGGGGAGGAAGGGAGUAAGGUUAAUAACCUUAUU